UACGUAGGGUGCAAGCGUUUAAUCGGAAUUACUGGGCGUAAAGCGUGCGCAGGCGGUUAUGUAAGACAGGUGUGAAAAUCCCCCGGGCUUAACCCUGGGAACUGCAUUUUGUGACUGCAUAGCUAGAGUACGGUAGAGGGGGGAUGGAAAUUCCGCGUGUAGCAGUGAAAUGCGUAGAUAUGCGGAGGAACACCGAUGGCGAAGGCGGCCACCUGGACGGUCACUGACGCUGAGACGCGAAAGCGUGGGGAGCAAACAGG
Molecule: ribosomal RNA, 260 nt
Filed under: uncultured bacterium
Lineage: Bacteria
Description: partial 16S ribosomal RNA
Rfam family: Bacterial small subunit ribosomal RNA
Source: RNAcentral